UUAAUUGAAACCAAAUAGAGGUAUAUCACUGUUAAUGAUAUCAAUGAAUUUAUUUUUCCAAUUAAA
RNAcentral lists this transfer RNA (66 nucleotides) under Cigaritis takanonis. RNAcentral describes it as "tRNA-Asn". The record is from RNAcentral. Lineage: Eukaryota; Metazoa; Arthropoda; Insecta; Lepidoptera; Lycaenidae.